AGUGGGGUGCAAACAGGUGACAGGGGAUUACGUGGCUUACAGAGGGAUUUCUGCCACUCGCUGCCACGCGGACGAACGCGAAGGACGCCACGGGCAGCGUCAGGGGACUUCCUGGGAGAGACCACGUCUUCCGUCUCUGUCUGGGGUCUACCAGGCCCUGGGAGCAGGAACGCCACCCUCCGAGCUCCUGAGAAAGCCGAAACCAGAGUCGGUCCCCAAACACUGUCUGUGGCAGUGCAGACGGACGCGGGCCAUAAGCAGCAGUUCCCAGAAGCAGGCUCUCAGACAGCGUCCACCGUCGCCAGGAACUGCGGAGAAUGCUCCGUGGAAGGCGGCACGAAGCGCUAAACAUCUGGAGACGGCCGUCCACACGCCAUUUAAAAUCGUCUGUGUCCCCAACAGGCAGGUGCUCCCCACCGGGGGAUUUGGCUUGGAUCUGGGGCAUCGGGGGGAGCCAGGGGGGCACGAGAGCCCACAGCCGGGAGGCUGGGCCCCGGGUCCCCCUCGUGCAGCAGGGCGGGCGCUGGCCUGAAGAUGGGGACGUCCGUGAGGGGGGCUAAGAGGACGGGGUCAGCCAAGGGGCAGGAGGGGCUGGUCCAGGAAGGGUUCUGGGGUGCAAGGCUCCCGAUGCCUCCCAACCAGAGGACAUGGGGUGCUGCGCUGAGGUCAUUCCUUCCUGGGGCAGGAGCCCAGGGGCCCGUGCCAUCGAGGGGCCGGCAAGGACCUAGACGGGGACCCACGAGUCCCCAGAG
RNAcentral lists this long non-coding RNA (752 nucleotides) under Felis catus (domestic cat). RNAcentral describes it as "lncRNA (ENSFCAG00000052279.1)". The record is from RNAcentral. Lineage: Eukaryota; Metazoa; Chordata; Mammalia; Carnivora; Felidae.